This 339-nucleotide ribosomal RNA is filed under the name uncultured Ascomycota. Its description in RNAcentral is "eukaryotic LSU rRNA". The stretch from base 1 to 125 matches the Rfam family "5.8S ribosomal RNA", at positions 30 to 154 of the family's 154-position model. The record is from RNAcentral. Lineage: Eukaryota; Fungi; Ascomycota.
GCAUCGAUGAAGAACGCAGCGAAAUGCGAAAAGUAGUGUGAAUUGCAGAAUUCAGUGAAUCAUCGAAUCUUUGAACGCACAUUGCGCCCCUUGGUAUUCCAUGGGGCAUGCCUGUUCGAGCGUCAUUUGUACCCUCAAGCUCUGCUUGGUGUUGGGUGUUUGUCCCGCCUUCGCGCGUGGACUCGCCUUAAAGUGAUUGGCAGCCGGAAUAAUUCUGGGGAACGCAGCACAACUGCAGCCUCCAUUUUACGCCGAGCGUCCAGUAAGCCUUUUUUCAACGUUUGACCUCGGAUCAGGUAGGGAUACCCGCUGAACUUAAGCAUAUCAAUAAGCGGAGGA